RNAcentral lists this ribosomal RNA (468 nucleotides) under uncultured bacterium. RNAcentral's name for it is "partial 16S ribosomal RNA". It matches the Rfam family "Bacterial small subunit ribosomal RNA", at positions 28 to 507 of the family's 1533-position model. The record is from RNAcentral.
GACGAACGCUGGCGGCGUGCUUAACACAUGCAAGUCGAACGGAAAGGCCCUGCUUUUGUUGGGUGCUCGAGUGGCGAACGGGUGAGUAACACGUGAGUAACCUGCCCUUUACUUUGGGAUAACUUCAGGAAACUGGGGCUAAUACCGGAUAGUAGCUCCUGCUGCAUGGUGGGGGUUGGAAAGUUUCGGCGGUUGGGGUUGGACUCGCGGCUUAUCAGCUUGUUGGUGGGGUAGUGGCUUACCCAGGCGUUGACGGGUAGCCGGACUGAGAGGGUGACCGGCCACAUUGGGACUGAGAUACGGCCCAGACUGAUACGGGAGGCAGCAGUGGGGAAUAUUGCACAAUGGGCGGAAGCCUGAUGCAGCAACGCCGCGUGCGAGAUGACGGCCUUCGGGGUGUAAACCGCUUUCGCCUGUGACGAAGCGUGAGUGACGGUAAUGGGUAAAGAAGCACCGGCUAACUACGUG